Molecule: long non-coding RNA, 1624 nt
Organism: Panicum virgatum (switchgrass)
Lineage: Eukaryota; Viridiplantae; Streptophyta; Magnoliopsida; Poales; Poaceae
Exons: 2
Source: RefSeq, a predicted model, not a curated record
CCGCUCAAUUAAGCUGCUUCGUGUCCUCUCUUCACAAGUUCCAAAACACGUGUACAGGUGCACCGUCCUUGCCUCGCAAACGAAUCGAAACACCACGGCUCGUGGCAUCCUCCAACCGACCCCUCCCCUCUGGCCACCUCCGCCACCCUCUCUCCGGCCACCGGCGCCGAGGCGGACGCCCAGGGGCCAGCUCCUCCCCUGCUCCCUCCAUCACCGGCGGCGGCGGCGCUCUGCUCCUCCUCGAGUGCGGCACGGCGGACCUCCGCUCCCCCUUCCCCCUCUCGGCCACGGUGGUCGAGCUCGCGUGCGCGCCAGCCGUCGGUGGCGCAGUAGGGGCCGGCGGCGCAGCAGAGCAAUGGCCCUAUCCCCGGCGAGAUCCACCCCUCUCCCAUGGCGGCGGCCAGAUCCUUCCUCGCGGCGGCGCAUCCUCCCUUCCCGAGCUCGCAGGCGGCCAGCUCAGUGCGGAUCCGCGGCUCUCCUCCCUCCUCCGUCCUGGUGGAGCUCCCUCCCGCGCCGCCGGCCCUGUCGCUGCUCCGCAGCCACGGCCUGCAGCUUGCCUACAGGACACUAAAGAAAAAAUGGGGAUUAGGCGAGCAUCGCCACACGUCGUCGGUCCGCCAGUCGCGUCAGCUCUACACGAUGCCAAACGGAGAUCUAUGCGCCGUCCUUGACUGCGGAAAGCAUCGCCCCCAUCUGGUUCGUCUCUGCCUCCUCGCACUUGCCUUCCCCACCAUCGUCAGGGUCCUCGAGCCGACGCCAGCUAGCUUCCUACCUUCUGCUCAGCUCUCAAUCUGACAAUCUCCUCGGCGUUGACGGCAAAGUUUGGAAAGUGGUGAGCACAUGAAUUCUUUCUUGCUGUCCUCGUGUAUCCAAUGCAAGGAGGCGGAAUAGUGUAUUUUGAGCAAGUAUGCUAAUAAGGUUCAACGAUGGACAGUCGGCGUAAGUUUGGUGAACAAUCAAAUCUAUCUAUCUAUAGGAUUCAGAAGAAGCAAAUCAGGUCAGCCGAUGGCUUUGAUAACGCCUUUUGUUUUUUUUUAUGAAAUUGAUAACCCCUUUUGGUGAUUAUACAUCGAUUGUUCAUCUCUUCCUCUAUUCGUAAAGUUAGCUUCAGAAGGUUUCUACUUCUUUUUCCCUCAAGUUUAUCUUUUUUUUGUUGCCUGAUAUGCGUUGAAACUCAAAUCAUUCUCGUACCGUUUCAUGCUAAUAUCAGAUACUUGCAUAUUAUAGGUUUUCUUAAGCCCUCAGCCGUUGUAUAUGUGUUCAAAAUUAUAUAUGUACCCAUCAUGUCUACUUCAGCCUGUAGAAGCAGAUUUUUUUUCCCACCAUGAAACUCACAGAUGGGAUGGGGCUUUCCUCUGCUUUAAAAGGAUAGUUGCUGACAAGAGUUACAACAACAUGAAGGCACCUCCAAGAGCAGCAUGAAGCAGAGCCAUUAAGUGAAACCUUAUGCAUCUGUACCCUAUACCAUAUUUGUGAGCUAUUGUUGUUUCAUUUUCGCAACCAUGGUGAACCAAAACCUUUUUGCAUAUGAGUAGAUUUUUAAAAGGUGAAAGAUGUAAUUUGCAUUAUGCAUUAUUCUUAUCAAAAAGAAGGGUGUAAUAGGUUAAAUCUUUUUGCUUGCCUA